GUCGACGAUUACUCCUACGGGAGGCAGCAGUGGGGAAUUUUGGACAAUGGGCGCAAGCCUGAUCCAGCCAUGCCGCGUGAGUGAAGAAGGCCUUCGGGUUGUAAAGCUCUUUCAGCCGGGAAGAAAACGCAUGGGUUAAUACCCUGUGUGGAUGACGGUACCGGAAUAAGAAGCACCGGCUAACUACGUGCCAGCAGCCGCGGUAAUAAUCUCUAGA
This 217-nucleotide ribosomal RNA is filed under the name uncultured Rhodocyclaceae bacterium. RNAcentral describes it as "partial 16S ribosomal RNA". It matches the Rfam family "Bacterial small subunit ribosomal RNA", at positions 325 to 531 of the family's 1533-position model. The record is from RNAcentral. Lineage: Bacteria; Pseudomonadati; Pseudomonadota; Betaproteobacteria; Rhodocyclales; Rhodocyclaceae.